RNAcentral lists this ribosomal RNA (493 nucleotides) under uncultured bacterium. RNAcentral's name for it is "partial 16S ribosomal RNA". It matches the Rfam family "Bacterial small subunit ribosomal RNA", at positions 29 to 507 of the family's 1533-position model. The record is from RNAcentral.
AGUGAACGCUGGCGGUAGGCCUAACACAUGCAAGUCGAACGGCAGCACAGUAAGAGCUUGCUCUUACGGGUGGCGAGUGGCGGACGGGUGAGGAAUACAUCGGAAUCUACUUUUUCGUGGGGGAAUAACGUAGGGAAACUUACGCUAAUACCGCAUACGACCUACGGGUGAAAGCAGGGGAUCUUCGGACCUUGCGCGAUUGAAUGAGCCGAUGUCGGAUUAGCUAGUUGGCGGGGUAAAGGCCCACCAAGGCGACGAUCCGUAGCUGGUCUGAGAGGAUGAUCAGCCACACUGGAACUGAGACACGGUCCAGACUCCUACGGGAGGCAGCAGUGGGGAAUAUUGGACAAUGGGCGCAAGCCUGAUCCAGCCAUACCGCGUGGGUGAAGAAGGCCUUCGGGUUGUAAAGCCCUUUUGUUGGGAAAGAAAAGCAGCAGGUUAAUACCCCGCUGUUCUGACGGUACCCAAAGAAUAAGCACCGGCUAACUUCGUG